Molecule: transfer RNA, 72 nt
Organism: Camelus ferus (Wild Bactrian camel)
Lineage: Eukaryota; Metazoa; Chordata; Mammalia; Artiodactyla; Camelidae
Rfam family: tRNA
About the family: Transfer RNA (tRNA) molecules are approximately 80 nucleotides in length.
Source: Rfam
GAGGGUAUAGGUCAGUGGUAGAGUGUGUGCCUUGCAUGCAUGAGGUCCUGGGUUGAAUCCCUAAUACCUCCC